AUUUUGACGUUUUUUUUUAUCGUGAAGUCGUUUAAGGGCGUAAAGCAAUUUGGUAUUUUAAAUUUUUUUUCAUGUUUUCUUCGGUAGUAGAAAAAGAAAUGUAAAAAUAUGUGGCUGCUGCCCAUAUUUGUUAAGAAAAAACUGCUUUAAGAGAGAAAGACCAUCCAACGAGUUAGCGGAAUAAAACGAAAAUGUUGUUUAGGUGUGGAUGAUGCUCAAAAUUGCGUGCUGUUUUCAUCGCCGAAAUAAAAAAGUGAAAUAAAGUUAUUUAGGAGAACCAGGAAUUAGAACAAAGGAAACUGUUUUUAAUUGGAAAGAUUAUAUCUAGGAAAAAAUGCACCGUUCAAGAGAGAAACAUUCUAGCAUUUUCACAAAUACAGUACAAGCCCUUGAAAUAGUUUUAUCAGAUCCUGCGUAAAUAAUAAAUAAAUUUAAAUAAU
Anthonomus grandis grandis is the source of this 440-nucleotide long non-coding RNA. RefSeq lists it as uncharacterized. The transcript is spliced from 2 exons. NCBI's taxonomy places the organism in Eukaryota, Metazoa, Arthropoda, Insecta, Coleoptera, Curculionidae. The record is from RefSeq and is a predicted model, not a curated record.